UGGGGCAUAGCUCAGUGGUAGAGCGCAUGCUUAGCGUACCCGAGGUCCUGGGUUCAAUCCCCAGUACCUCUA
RNAcentral lists this transfer RNA (72 nucleotides) under Camelus bactrianus (Bactrian camel). It matches the Rfam family "tRNA". Rfam says of the family: Transfer RNA (tRNA) molecules are approximately 80 nucleotides in length. RNAcentral also lists the same sequence under 2 other names. The record is from Rfam by way of RNAcentral. Lineage: Eukaryota; Metazoa; Chordata; Mammalia; Artiodactyla; Camelidae.